GCACGCCGGCCUCGACGAGCGCGCGGACGGCCUCUGCAUGGUUGCGGCCGCACAGGACGUGCGGGUCGGUACGCAGCCAGCGCGGAAGGCGCCUGGUGCGGUGGAGGGCCUCGCGGUCGUGAACGACAAAGCGGCUGUGGGCGGCGCGCGCCGCGCAAAAGGUGGCGUCGUCGACAAAGUCGAGGAUGUGCACGACAAUCUCUGGCGGGAGCGCUAUGAUCGAUGCCGCUGCUUUGACCAAGUCGGGCGACGUCGUCUCCAUGAGCGCACGCAGCCGAUUUCCUCUGUCUUUUUAUUUUUUGGCUUUUUCUUUUCUAUGGAGGGCUCGGCUGCGCGCCCGACCGAUGUAUAAAAAAAAGAGCAGAAAGCGAGCGCGAGAGGAUGACACUUGUUCUUGUCGUGGCGAGCGCGCGAGGACGACGGCUUGCCGCGGAUACGAUGGCGCGCUCCGCGAAAAAAGACGGGCCGACGAGAGCGACACCAGCGCGCGCGAGAGAGCCACACGAGGCCCUGCAUGAAACCCUUUCCCGUUUCUUUCCAUUUACUUUUUUCACCAAAAAAAGACCGCCGCGCGUUGGUCCGCCCCAGGACACGCGCCACACGAGCGCAGGCCCGUCCACCUUUCGCAGUGUCGCCUGAUUUUGCUUUCGGGGAUUUUCUGAGAGACGAGGGCAGGGGCGCCGCGGGCCAACCGUAACAAG
This 701-nucleotide long non-coding RNA is filed under the name Pandoravirus dulcis. RNAcentral's name for it is "putative ncRNA". The record is from RNAcentral.